CGCCAUCCAGCCAUCCCGCAGCCUCACCACCACCAGCCCCGCCAUCCAGCCAUCCCGCAGGUUCACCACCACCAGCCCCGCCGUCCAGCCAUCCACCAGGACCCUCAGAGCCAGAGAAUGCAGCCAUAGGAUGUCUGGUACAGAAACAUUUUAUCCAGUCAAGAGGGUCGUAAACCACAAAAGGCUUAAGGGAAAAACAAUGGAACUUAUUGAGUGGGAGCCCUGUUCGAUGUGGUAUGCAAUAUGUCUCUUCAUUCUAUUCUAUCGUCUCAAAUAUUAGCAAAGAAAUAGCAUUAUUAUUAUUCUCAUUAUUGUUUUAACAGUUUAAAGGGUGAAGCAUCAAAAUAGUUUAUGUGUACUCCUUAAUCAAACUUUCAUAAUGAUGUCAACUACAGUAAUCAGGUUACUGAAUUCAUGUAAAAAAAUUGACUCAAAACUGUUCUUCUCUAUUGACAUGUUUUUGAAUUUCAUUCAUUGCUGAUAUAAUAACAAAUCUUUUUCACAGUGGGAAGACCUGGCCCCUCGAGUGGGUAGCCAAGGAAGACACCAAGUCUUAAAUGACAUAGAUAUAUUUUUUAUGUUCAUAUGUCUUGUUAUGUUCAAAACAACAAAUAAAGUUCAAACACUAAAACCUCAAACCCUUACCUAAUAUGUAUUGUCCCAGUUGAGUUUCCGUACUGUGCCUGACCCGCUUGUGCAUGCGGCAUAGAGUUAUGAUGCAGGUAUAUCUUAAUAUCCUUUUUUUUUUUUUCAUAGUUCCUUUUAAUUGUUUCAUAGUAUCCGGAAUUAGAUGUACGACCCCUCGUUAACGUUUACAGUAAAUAACAUAAAUGACAAAUACGACAAUGACUCAGACAAUAUGAAACUUGGUAGCAUUAUUGCAUAUUGCAUUUUCCACGGAAAAAUUUCAUUUUUUUUUUUUUUAAACCUGACUUCCUCAUGUUUCUUCUUCUUCUUCUUCUUCUUGCAACUUUAUUUAAAUGUGACCGUUCACGUGACCAGUGCGUCUGACAAUGUAAAUGUAUUUUUUGUUUGUUUUAUUCUAAUCAACCUUUAUUGGCAGAGUAUUUGGUACAAAGGCAGAUAUUUACGUACAAAGAAGCAAACAAACAAACAAACAAACAAACAACAGCCAGGAGGAUUAUUCAAAUAAAAUCAUUACAUAAUGAGGCAGCGAGCUUCAUCAGCGCAUUCACCGAACCUCGCGCGUGCGCGCGCACACACACACAAACACG
This is a long non-coding RNA of Pungitius pungitius (ninespine stickleback), 1235 nucleotides long. RefSeq lists it as uncharacterized. The transcript has 3 exons. The record is from RefSeq and is a predicted model, not a curated record. NCBI's taxonomy places the organism in Eukaryota, Metazoa, Chordata, Actinopteri, Perciformes, Gasterosteidae.